GAUGAACGCUGGCGGCGUGCCUAAUACAUGCAAGUCGAGCGAACGGACGAGAAGCUUGCUUCUCUGAUGUUAGCGGCGGACGGGUGAGUAACACGUGGAUAACCUACCUAUAAGACUGGGAUAACUUCGGGAAACCGGAGCUAAUACCGGAUGAUAUUUUGAACCGCAUGGUUCAAAAGUGAAAGACGGUCUUGCUGUCGCUUAUAGAUGGAUCCGCGCUGCAUUAGCUAGUUGGUAAGGUAACGGCUUACCAAGGCAACGAUGCAUAGCCGACCUGAGAGGGGGAUCGGCCACACUGGAACUGAGACACGGUCCAGACUCCUACGGGAGGCAGCAGUAGGGAAUCUUACGCAAUGGGCGAAAGCCUGACGGAGCAACGCCGCGUGAGUGAUGAAGGUCUUCGGAUCGUAAAACUCUGUUAUUAGGGAAGAACAUAUGUGUAAGUAACUGUGCACAUCUUGACGUUACCUAAUCAGAAAGCCACGGCUAACUACGUG
RNAcentral lists this ribosomal RNA (497 nucleotides) under uncultured bacterium. Its description in RNAcentral is "partial 16S ribosomal RNA". It matches the Rfam family "Bacterial small subunit ribosomal RNA", at positions 28 to 507 of the family's 1533-position model. The record is from RNAcentral.